GAUCCUGCGCGUCACAAACAAAUGAGAUAGUCGAAGCCUGUGCAUGUCGUGAGGCCAAAUCUCACAAAAAUAACGUCUCCAGUCUCGGACUGUAUGUCUGCAAACCCGUACUAGCAUCGACGCUGGGAAUCGCUAGUAAUCGCAGAUCAGAAUGCUGCGGGUGAAUACGUCCCCCGGGUCUUGCUACACUACCGCCCGUCACACCAUGGGAGUCGGUAAUGCCCGAAGUCAGUGGCCUAACCGUAAAGAGUGUGGCCCAAUCUUAUAGGA
RNAcentral lists this ribosomal RNA (270 nucleotides) under uncultured Butyrivibrio sp. Its description in RNAcentral is "partial 16S ribosomal RNA". The record is from RNAcentral. Lineage: Bacteria; Bacillati; Bacillota; Clostridia; Lachnospirales; Lachnospiraceae.